ACGACUCUCGACAACGGAUAUCUAGGCUCUCGCAUCGAUGAAGAACGUAGCAAAAUGCGAUACUUGGUGUGAAUUGCAGAAUCCCGUGAAUCAUCGAGUUUUUGAACGCAAGUUGCGCCGAAAGUCAUUAGGCCGAGGGCACGUCUGCCUGGGUGUCAC
RNAcentral lists this ribosomal RNA (159 nucleotides) under Ceropegia konasita. RNAcentral's name for it is "5.8S ribosomal RNA". It matches the Rfam family "5.8S ribosomal RNA". Rfam says of the family: 5.8S ribosomal RNA (5.8S rRNA) is a component of the large subunit of the eukaryotic ribosome. It is transcribed by RNA polymerase I as part of the 45S precursor that also contains 18S and 28S rRNA. Functionally, it is thought that 5.8S rRNA may be involved in ribosome translocation. Lineage: Eukaryota; Viridiplantae; Streptophyta; Magnoliopsida; Gentianales; Apocynaceae. The record is from RNAcentral.